AAAGCAGCUUCUUUCUUUCAAGUUAGCUAUUGAAUCAAGUUAGACGUUAUAUGCCCAUGAUCUGUCUAGUAACGAUGAAAGUUUUAACAACUAUCUUUGUCACGGAUUAAAGAACAAGGUUAUGAAAGUCGUUAAUCUCUCAAUUUCAGAAACUUUCGCUGAGCUAAUCUAGAGGUGUAAACACAGCGGUUGGCGGCGAGCUAAGGAGAACGGCUGUAGAUGUAAAGCACGUUAUUCUACUUGAUUUAGACACGAAGUUAAAAUGCCUGAUGAAAAAAAAUAAUACUCCGGGGAUACACGCUGGAGAUUAUACGAAACACGAUCCAUCAACGCAAAGUCAUACUAGAAAAGUGGGAGAAUCAAGUUCACCUGAAAGCCCAUAGGAGCUCUCUUCGAGUAUUCGUCGUGCUCGAAUGACGUCACGUCCUUCUUCCCUCGCAUCCCCUGGAAUCCCAUGGGAGCUCGUUUAACAGGAACAACAUCACUGGACGGUUUAUCGGCCAGCACUGAUGUAAAUACUGCCACGACGAACAGGAUUGAGCGGAAAUACAUUCUGAAAUAGAAAAAAGAUUUUCGCGAAGGAAUGAUCGGAGAGAACCAGUCGGAUGAUCGCAAGAUUAGAUUCGGACCUGUCAAAAUUGCAAUUCAUUUCAAAGACAGGAUCCUUUGCACAUCUGGUUUGAUUGCUUAAUUAAUGUGGGUCAUCAACACGGCGUUGAAUUUAAUUACAACGACGCCCCUCGGCGAGGCCGUGGCUGCAGGGAAAUUAACUCGGUGCACGUCGUUUCCUCGGUGGAAAUAUAUAUUCCUCAAUAUUUUUUAACGAAA
Neodiprion fabricii is the source of this 828-nucleotide long non-coding RNA. RefSeq lists it as uncharacterized. The record is from RefSeq and is a predicted model, not a curated record. NCBI's taxonomy places the organism in Eukaryota, Metazoa, Arthropoda, Insecta, Hymenoptera, Diprionidae. The transcript is spliced from 3 exons.